UACGUAGGGUGCAAGCGUUAAUCGGAAUUACUGGGCGUAAAGGGUGUGUAGGCGGUUCUUUAAGUUUGGUGUGAAAUCUCCCGGCUUAACCGGGAGGGUGCGCCGAAUACUGAGGGACUAGAGUACGGGAGAGGAAAGUGGAAUUCCUGGUGUAGCGGUGAAAUGCGUAGAUAUCAGGAGGAACACCGGUGGUGUAGACGGCUUUCUGGACCGUAACUGACGCUGAAACACGAAAGCGUGGGUAGCAAACAGG
Molecule: ribosomal RNA, 253 nt
Filed under: uncultured bacterium
Lineage: Bacteria
Description: partial 16S ribosomal RNA
Rfam family: Bacterial small subunit ribosomal RNA
Source: RNAcentral